GACGAACGCUGGCGGCGUGCUUAACACAUGCAAGUCGAACGGAAAGGCCCUGCUUUUGUGGGGUGCUCGAGUGGCGAGCGGGUGAGUAACACGUGAGUAACCUGCCCUUGACUUUGGGAUAACUUCAGGAAACUGGGGCUAAUACCGGAUAGGAGCUCCUGCUGCAUGGUGGGGGUUGGAAAGUUUCGGCGGUUGGGGAUGGACUCGCGGCUUAUCAGCUUGUUGGUGGGGUAGUGGCUUACCAAGGCUUUGACGGGUAGCCGGCCUGAGAGGGUGACCGGCCACAUUGGGACUGAGAUACGGCCCAGACUCCUACGGGAGGCAGCAGUGGGGAAUAUUGCACAAUGGGCGGAAGCCUGAUGCAGCAACGCCGCGUGCGGGAUGACGGCCUUCGGGUUGUAAACCGCUUUCGCCUGCGACGAAGCGUGAGUGACGGUAAUGGGUAAAGAAGCACCGGCUAACUACGUG
RNAcentral lists this ribosomal RNA (468 nucleotides) under uncultured bacterium. RNAcentral describes it as "partial 16S ribosomal RNA". It matches the Rfam family "Bacterial small subunit ribosomal RNA", at positions 28 to 507 of the family's 1533-position model. The record is from RNAcentral.